GACGAACGCUGGCGGCGUGCUUAACACAUGCAAGUCGAACGGAAAGGCCCUGCUUUUGUGGGGUGCUCGAGUGGCGAACGGGUGAGUAACACGUGAGUAACCUGCCCUUGACUUUGGGAUAACUACAGGAAACUGGGGCUAAUACCGGAUAGGAGCUCCUGCUGCAUGGUGGGGGUUGGAAAGUUUCGGCGGUUGGGGAUGGACUCGCGGCUUAUCAGCGUGGUGGUGGGGUAGUGGCUUACCAAGGCUUUGACGGGUAGCCGGCCUGAGAGGGUGACCGGCCACAUUGGGACUGAGAUACGGCCCAGACUCCUACGGGAGGCAGCAGUGGGGAAUAUUGCACAAUGGGCGGAAGCCUGAUGCAGCAACGCCGCGUGCGGGAUGACGGCCUUCGGGUUGUAAACCGCUUUCGCCUGUGACGAAGCGUGAGUGACGGUAAUGGGUAAAGAAGCACCGGCUAACUACGUG
This 468-nucleotide ribosomal RNA is filed under the name uncultured bacterium. RNAcentral describes it as "partial 16S ribosomal RNA". It matches the Rfam family "Bacterial small subunit ribosomal RNA", at positions 28 to 507 of the family's 1533-position model. The record is from RNAcentral.